RNAcentral lists this transfer RNA (73 nucleotides) under Brettanomyces bruxellensis AWRI1499. It matches the Rfam family "tRNA". From Rfam's summary of the family: Transfer RNA (tRNA) molecules are approximately 80 nucleotides in length. Lineage: Eukaryota; Fungi; Ascomycota; Pichiomycetes; Pichiales; Pichiaceae. The record is from Rfam by way of RNAcentral.
GGGUUAAUGGUCUAGUGGUAUGAUUCCUGCUUUGGGGUGCAGGAGGCCCUGGGUUCAAUUCCCAGUUGACCCC